UAUGGAGGAUCCGAGCGUUAUCCGGAUUUAUUGGGUUUAAAGGGUGCGCAGGCGGGAGAUUAAGUCGGCGGUGAAAUUUUGCAGCUCAACUGUAAAAGUGCCUUCGAUACUGGUUUCCUUGAGUGUGGAUGAAGUAGGCGGAAUUUGUGGUGUAGCGGUGAAAUGCUUAGAUAUCACGAGGAACUCCGAUUGCGCAGGCAGCUUACUAAACCACUACUGACGCUCAGGCACGAAGGCGUUGGGGAUCAAACAGGAUUAGAUACCCCU
RNAcentral lists this ribosomal RNA (267 nucleotides) under uncultured prokaryote. RNAcentral's name for it is "partial 16S ribosomal RNA". It matches the Rfam family "Bacterial small subunit ribosomal RNA", at positions 524 to 788 of the family's 1533-position model. The record is from RNAcentral.